AUGAGCGUUUCUCAGCUCCUUCUCCCCGAGAGGCAACAGGGGAGGGUGGUCCCGGUUCCCUGCAAUGGAGACGGUGCUGGAAGCGAUGGAGGAGUGGAGGAGAUGUAUAAACAUGGAGGCAGCAUGCCUAAUUAAUGACCUGAAACAGCGGGAAAGAGGAAAUCGGUUCAUUGGCUCGAGCAUUCAGCACAGCGAUUGAGAGCAGCCUGGAUCUGGAGCAUCAAGUGAGCAUCACUAGAACCAUCUGAAACCGAGAGGAAAGAGGCUGCAAGUGAGGAAGGGGGGCUGGAGGCCGUGUGCUCUGCAG
Molecule: long non-coding RNA, 307 nt
Organism: Taeniopygia guttata (zebra finch)
Lineage: Eukaryota; Metazoa; Chordata; Aves; Passeriformes; Estrildidae
Source: RefSeq, a predicted model, not a curated record